This is a long non-coding RNA of Carassius carassius (crucian carp), 733 nucleotides long. RefSeq lists it as uncharacterized. NCBI's taxonomy places the organism in Eukaryota, Metazoa, Chordata, Actinopteri, Cypriniformes, Cyprinidae. The record is from RefSeq and is a predicted model, not a curated record. The transcript has 2 exons.
UCCUAAGGAGCGGAGGAAGGCGGAGGUGUUAGAGGGAAUCUUGGAGCAGAUGGAGGUCGGGGAGGAAGACGUGGAGUGAAUAGCAGCCGUCAGUCAGCUCCAGCAUCAAUAAGAGAACCAACUCUGGCUGAAGGUGAGCUCGGAUGACAGGGUCCUUUUGAAAAGAUUCCUAAAGGCCACGUUUGCUUUAGCUGUUUUUGUAAUCGUCACAGAGGGCGACAUGGCUGACAUUGAAGAAUCACGAUAGUGAUCAACCAAAAUAUCAACUGGAAAUGUUUCCUUUAACAUCAUUUUAUGAUGUAAAAUGUCUAUUGUAGUCUGUUCCUGACUUAUAAUGUAUAAUGUAAAAUCUAUUAUAUAUAUUUAUAUAACAGUCCAGUGUGUCUUCUCAGUCUAUUCAAGAAAUGACAAUUGCUUUUAGAUUUUUGGGAUCAUACUGUAUUUAUUCAUGUGACAAUAAAUUAUUGUGUCUGAAAAUGUUCCUAUCUUAGGAUAAGUAAUUACACUUGAAACCUCAUUUUGUAAAAUGUGCUAUUUGUACAGUCGAGGUCACAACAGUCUUGGUCUACACAGAAGAUGCCUUGCAAACUACAUAGCGGGCAUUCUAGUGUACUGCAUCUGCAUGACAUCAUCAUGUGAUUUCAAAUCAACCAGUAAUAUUAUCUGUUUUGAAAUUUCUAAUUUGCUUUCUCAUUUGUUUUCUGUUUUAUUAAAGGGUUUGUUUAUUCAGAAA